RNAcentral lists this ribosomal RNA (349 nucleotides) under Phrynus marginemaculatus (Florida whipspider). Its description in RNAcentral is "partial small subunit ribosomal RNA". The record is from RNAcentral. Lineage: Eukaryota; Metazoa; Arthropoda; Arachnida; Amblypygi; Phrynidae.
UCUAGAUUUAAGGGGGUAGUAAUAGAUGGUCUUGAAACCUAAAAUUUUUGGCGGUUUUUUAAGCUAGUUAGAGGAAUCUGUUCUAUUAUAGAUGGUACACUGUUAAUUUAACUUUACUAUAUUGGUUUAUAUACCGCCGUCGGAAAGUGGGUUUUUUAGAACUUAUUGGAAAAUUUGAGUAAUUUAUAAAAUAGGAAGACAGGUCAAGGUGUAGCUUAUAGUGGAGGGUGAAAUGGAUUACAAUAUUUAAUUAAUAAAAUGAAUAAAGGUAGGAAAGUGCUUUUUGAAGGAGGAUUUAUAUGUAAUGUAAGAGCAGGAGUGCUUACAUGAUUGAAGCUCUAUAAAAUGU